UGUCUUUCCAAUCAAAUAAAGGGCGUGACC
Molecule: non-coding RNA, 30 nt
Filed under: Mus musculus (house mouse)
Lineage: Eukaryota; Metazoa; Chordata; Mammalia; Rodentia; Muridae
Source: RNAcentral